GAUGAGAACGUAGCGAAAUGCGAUAAGUAAUGUGAAUUGCAGAAUUCAGUGAAUCAUCGAAUCUUUGAACGCACAUUGCGCCCCUUGGUAUUCCGAGGGGCAUGCCUGUUCGAGCGUCAUUAUAACCCCUCAAGCUCAGCUUGGUGUUGGGGCCUGCUGCACUGGCAGCCCUUAAAAUCAGUGGCGGCGCCAUCUGGCUCUAAGCGUAGUAAUUCUUCUCGCUAUGGAGUCCUGGUGGAUGCUUGCCAUCAACCCCCAAUUUUUCUAUGGUUGACCUCGGAUCAGGUAGGGAUACCCGCUGAACUUAAGCAUAUCAAUAAACGGAGGA
RNAcentral lists this unclassified non-coding RNA (328 nucleotides) under soil metagenome. RNAcentral's name for it is "partial contains 5.8S ribosomal RNA, internal transcribed spacer 2, and large subunit ribosomal RNA". The stretch from base 5 to 119 matches the Rfam family "5.8S ribosomal RNA", at positions 40 to 154 of the family's 154-position model. The record is from RNAcentral.